UUUAAAGUUGAAGUGAUUCGACUGACUAAGGAUGAUAUGGAGUUUGACAUGAUCGGUAUUGAUGCAUCAAUUGCUAAUGCAUUUCGAAGGAUUCUCAUUUCUGAGCUUCCCACCAUGGCUAUUGAAAAAGUCCUUAUUGCAAACAAUACAUCACUUAUCCAAGACGAAGUCCUUUCUCACAGGUUGGGCCUUAUUCCAAUUAAUGCUGACCCUAGGCUGUUUGAGUAUCUUUCAGCAAAUGAUACCCCAAAUGAAAAGAACACUAUUGUCUUCAAACUUCAUGUUCAUUGCAAACCAGGCGAGCCUCGUUGUACAGUAUAUUCUGAAGAAUUGAAGUGGUUACCAAAUGGGAGUGAGUUCAUAAAGGAAUCAGAAAAGGUUGAUACAAAGCCGAGCACCUAUACUUCAUUUAGUUGCAGCCAAAAUUCCCUACAGAACUUCUCGAGCAAUCCAAUCGGCCCAACAGAAGACAAGAUUAUAAUUGCUAAACUUGGCCCUGGACAGGAAAUUGAACUUGAAGCUCAUGCUGU
Molecule: unclassified non-coding RNA, 530 nt
Filed under: Hevea brasiliensis (rubber tree)
Lineage: Eukaryota; Viridiplantae; Streptophyta; Magnoliopsida; Malpighiales; Euphorbiaceae
Source: RNAcentral